CCUGGGCGGGUUUCGCCCGCCACCAGGACCACACCAUAAACCUUUUUUAUGCAGUUGCAAUCAGCGUCAGUACAACAAAUGUAAAUCAUUUACAACUUUCAACAACGGAUCUCUUGGUUCUGGCAUCGAUGAAGAACGCAGCGAAAUGCGAUACGUAGUGUGAAUUGCAGAAUUCAGUGAAUCAUCGAAUCUUUGAACGCACAUUGCGCCCUUUGGUAUUCCAAAGGGCAUGCCUGUUCGAGCGUCAUUUGUACCCUCAAGCUUUGCUUGGUGUUGGGCGUUUUUUUGUCUUUGGUUAUGCCAAAGACUCGCCUUAAAACGAUUGGCAGCCGGCCUCCUGGUUUCGCAGCGCAGCACAUUUUUGCGCUUGCAAUCAGCAAUAGAGGGCGGCACUCCAUCAAGACACUUUUUUUCACGUUUGACCUCGGAUCAGGUAGGGAUACCCGCUGAAC
RNAcentral lists this ribosomal RNA (452 nucleotides) under Curvularia inaequalis. Its description in RNAcentral is "eukaryotic LSU rRNA". The stretch from base 94 to 247 matches the Rfam family "5.8S ribosomal RNA". Lineage: Eukaryota; Fungi; Ascomycota; Dothideomycetes; Pleosporales; Pleosporaceae. The record is from RNAcentral.